Molecule: long non-coding RNA, 1776 nt
Organism: Herpailurus yagouaroundi (jaguarundi)
Lineage: Eukaryota; Metazoa; Chordata; Mammalia; Carnivora; Felidae
Exons: 2
Source: RefSeq, a predicted model, not a curated record
GACAUGCGCAGUGAGUGCCUCCCGUCUCUUCUACCCGAACCCCCCCUCCCCCCCCCAGCAGAGAGACCCCAGCAGCAGCAGCAGCUGAUGAUGAAGAGAGAGGCAGUGGCAGAGGGGGGGCACCUUUUAUUUCUAUUUUUAAAGGGACAGGACACUAAUUUUACCCCACUUCAACCUUGAAUUGAGGGGGGUGGGGGGAAGGCGGCUGAGUUCCUUCCCCCACCCUCCAGCCCUGAGACCUGAGAGGGGGAUUGAGCCUGAGAGAGAAGAAGAAGGAGUUUCUUCUUCUUCGAAAACCCCCAUCCACGACUCCUACCCCCUCACCCCUCCACUAGCCUCCCUCCCGAGCCCCCUCCACCCUCCUCUUUGGCCGUGAGAGGAGGAGAGAAAGAGACCAAAAGCCUCUUAGCAACACAGACCCUUCUCUGCUGCUGCUGCUGCUGCUGCUACUGCUGCUGCUGCUUGGCCCUGGCUGGAGACAUCUCACUACACCCAGGAGCAGCCACUUCCCCAGCUCUCCUCCUCCUUCGCCUCCUCCUCCUCCACUCCCCCCCCUUUAUUACCCUUUGUGUCAUCCUCCACAGCUCCAGGGAAGGCACUCAAAAGUGGGGGGCAGGAAAGACACUUAUCAACUUUCCAGUUUUCUAUGGAUAUGAAGAUUUACUCCUAGUCAUCAGUGGGACCCCAUGAAGUCAGCCAGAAAGCCUAUGUCCAACUUAUGUACCUUUGCAAACUUGUCUGGAUUUUGAAUGUAUGUGCAAAACAGAUUGUACUUAGGUAUUCAUUAAACAUCUUUUGAGCAUCUACUGUCUGUCAGGCACUGUGCUAGGCAUCUGAGAAACAAGGAUGGUCCCUACAGUUUAAUGUGAAGAGGUAUUUUAAUUGUAUUCCACAAGUAUAUUGGUCAUAACUUUAUUUUGAUGUUUCUAAAUAAAUUUUAUAUUAACUAAAUAAAUGGAUACUGUUAGGUGGAAAAAUGCAUGUUUAAGAAGGAUUUUGCUGUAUUUUAUUAAGAUAGAAAUAUAUAAUGAAAAAUUUUCCACUUAAUACUGUAUUCUGGGGCUCUCUAUUCUGUAUAUAAUUCACUAAUUUUAGACCAUAAAAAUAGUCUAUGUGACCAUCAUUACUAGUAUUUUAUUGAUACAUACUUUUAUUUGAAGAUUAUCAACAUUGUUUAUUGAAGUAUCUCUUAUAAAAUUAUUCCAAAACAAAAAACAAACCCCAAACUCUCCAAACUUAAACUUUUUUUUCUCAAAAGUAACUUCUCUUCUUACAUUUCAUAUACCAGGUUAUCUUUCAUGGUUCAUUGGAAUACAUGGUACAUCAUUUUCAUUUUGAUCAUUUAGUUAUUUUCUGUAGUUUAAGCUAACAGUAUAAUUUAUUUAUCAUGGAAUAAUUAUGGUAUAUACUGUUCAGGAGUUUUGGAAUUUUUAUUGUGUACUAGAUAAAUUCCUCCGAGAUCCUCAUUAGAAACUUCCCAGUUCUACCUCUAAAUUGGUUAGUUGCAAUUAUUAAUCCUAUGUUAUGUAACUUCAGUAAAAUGAGUUAUUAAUUUCUUAGUUAAUGGAUGUUUCAAAACCAAAGAAUACUAUCUUGGUUCCUAUCAUGGCUUUCGUAUGUAAUUUAAAGAUUAGAGAGAGAUUUCCUGGAUUUUCUUUGUCCUUCUUCAACUGUACCUCUUAGAGUAAUAUUGAUUCACAAUUUGGAAGGAGGAGGAGCUUGGGCUCCCUUGCUGGUACAGUAUCUUGUGCAGGUAAAUAGAUUCCUGAAGGUCAA